AUACGUAGGGGGCGAGCGUUGUCCGGAAUGAUUGGGCGUAAAGGGCGCGUAGGCGGCCCGGUAAGUCUGGAGUGAAAGUCCUGUUUUUAAGAUGGGAAUUGCUUUGGAUACUGUCGGGCUUGAGUGCAGGAGAGGAAAGUGGAAUUCCUAGUGUAGCGGUGAAAUGCGUAGAUAUUAGGAGGAACACCAGUGGCGAAGGCGACUUUCUGGACUGUAACUGACACUGAGGAACGAAAGCGUGGGGAGCAAACAGGAUUAGAUACCCUGGUAGUCCACGCCGUAAACGAUGAACACUAGGUGUCGGGGUUUAAAGACUUCGGUGCCGCAGUUAACGCAUUAAGUGUUCCGCCUGGGGAGUACGCACGCAAGUGUGAAACUCAAAGGAAUUGACGGGG
Molecule: ribosomal RNA, 395 nt
Filed under: uncultured bacterium
Lineage: Bacteria
Description: partial 16S ribosomal RNA
Rfam family: Bacterial small subunit ribosomal RNA
Source: RNAcentral